Molecule: long non-coding RNA, 1310 nt
Organism: Brassica napus (rape)
Lineage: Eukaryota; Viridiplantae; Streptophyta; Magnoliopsida; Brassicales; Brassicaceae
Exons: 2
Source: RefSeq, a predicted model, not a curated record
CAAGAGUAAUUAUGGUGAGAGUGGAGGAAGAAGAAGACAAAGACAUAAGUUUUGUUUAUGUUUAUUGUAACGGCUAGUUUUACUUCUUCGGCCAAACAAAAAGAAACGGGAAGCGAGAGAAACAUGACCAACGGCUAUAAAGCCAUUUCGACCGUUUUAAUCUUAAUGAUUUAAUUAAAAUGUCUCGAUAGUCGUUGGAUGGUACAGAGAUUGUGACCGUGGGGGUCGUCCUAAUAAUAAUUGUUCCAAACUCGCUAAUCUAUAAUUCUAUUUUUAUGUUCAGACAACAACAAACUAAAAAGAUUCUAUCCUAUGACUCGGUCAAAAGUUUGACACUUUUUCGGCCACAUCAACACUACCAGCAAUAGUAAACACAUAUGUAUACACGGUAACAUUCCAAAAUCCAUAACGUGGCCCAAUUCAAGCCCAACUCCAUCGGCUUGAAAAUUCGGUGAUUCGGAAUAGGAUGUCAAAUUGGAUUUUCCGGAGUAUAUCCAGUUGAUUUGUUCGAGUGAAAGGUUUAUGGUUGUAUAGUAAAAGAUUGAAAAAUUUAUACUUACAGACACAUUCUCACUUUUCAUUUACACAUAAAGACACUUUCUGCAUGACACACAUUUUUUUUAGAUGGUUUGUCAUUUCUACCCUCAACUAAGCUACCAAAAUACAUUUCUAUUUUCCUAACUAAACACAAAUUGUCCGGUUACCAAACAAAUAAAGUAAAAAUAUACAAAAAGAUUUAUUCUCUCUCCUCUUUCGAUUUACGAUUGACUUUCAAAAUCACUUUCCCAAUUUUAUGAACCCUAAUCGUGACAAUUUCUUUUCUUCCUCUCCUUCCUCUCUAUGCGCUCUAUUGACGUCACUGGUAACGGAGGCGUCGUCGCCGUCAGGAUCUGUUCUCUCGAAUCCUAUCUUCAUCAACAAGCUCUUCUUACCUCUCGUUCCAUCUCUCAGCCAUGGAGUUACCAAAUCUCGUUCGUCGAAUCAAAAGUGACGUCUCCAAAGUCACUGAACUCACCUCCAUCAAACCCUUUGAGCUCCUCCGUGGAUACUGAAGCCAGUUUGGGAUGUGUUUUCACUCAUGAAAACAGAGGAGAAGAGACAAAAGUUCACAAACUCUAGAAUUUUUUGUAAGUAAAUCCGGAGAGAUGUUGCAUCCACAUAUUAAAACAGAUAUUGUGUUGCUUUGUUCUAAGGACACAACAACUCUGCAGAUGUCCGUUCAUACUUUUUUGUAUCAAUGUCCACAAAUUUAGUCAUACUGACUAAGGAAAGAAAAACCAUUAAAAGCUUUGUUGGACAAAGUUAUAACC